Bubalus bubalis (water buffalo) is the source of this 1087-nucleotide long non-coding RNA. RefSeq lists it as uncharacterized. The record is from RefSeq and is a predicted model, not a curated record. NCBI's taxonomy places the organism in Eukaryota, Metazoa, Chordata, Mammalia, Artiodactyla, Bovidae. The transcript has 2 exons.
GCCCACCAGGCUCCUCCGUCCAUGGGAUUUUCCAGGCAAGAGUACUGCUUAUGUUUCGGAAAUGAUGUUGAACAAAAAGCAAAUUUGAGUGAUUUUCUUAUUCAAGUUCAAAAUGAGUCAUAAAGCAGCGCAGACAACUCUCAACAUCAACAACGAAUUUGGCCCAGGAACUGCUAAUGAACAUACAGUGCAGUGGUGGUUCCAGAAGUUUUGCAAAGGAGACAAGUGACUUGAAGAUAAGCAACAUAGUGGCCAGCCAUCAGAAGUUGAUGACGACCAAUUGAGAGCAAUCAUGGAAGCUGAUCCUCUUACAGCUACACGAGAAGUUGCCAAAGAACUCAACAUAGACCAUCCUUGGUCAUUCAGCAUGUAAAGUAAAUUGGAAAUGUGAAAAAGCGCAAUAAGUGGGUGUCUCAUGAACUGACCAAAAAAAAAAAAGUCUGAAAUGUUGUCUCUUUUUCUAUGCAACAACAAUGAAUCAUUUCUCUAUUGGAUUGUGAUGUGUGACAAAAAGUGGAUUUUAUAGGUCAACUGCUGAUGACCAGCUCAGUGGUUGGACCAAAAAGAAGCUCCAAAGCACUUCCCAAAUCCAAAUAUGCACAAUAAAAGGGUCAUAGUCACUCUUUGGUGGUCUGCUGCUGGUCUGAUCCACUACAGCUCUCUGAAUCCCGGUGAAACCAUUACACCUGAGAAGUAUACUCAGCAAAUCAGUGAGAUGCACUGAAAACGGCAACGCCUGCAGUUGCGUUGGUCAACUGAAAGGGCGCAGUUCUUCUCCACUACAACGCCCAACGGCGUGUUGCACAACCGCUUCAAAAGUUGAAUGAAUAGGGCUAUGAAGUCUUGCUUAAUCUGCCUUAUUCACCUGACCUCUCGCCAACUGACUACCACUUCAACAUCUUAACACCUUUUUGCAGGGAAAAUGCUUCCACAAUGAGCAGGAGGCAGAGCAUUCUUUCCAAGAGUUCGUUGAAUCCUGAAGUAUGAAUUUUUAUGCUACAGGAAUAAGCAAACUUAUUUUUCUUUGGCAAAAAUAUGUUGAUUAUAAUGGUUCCUAUUUUGAUUAAUAAAGAUGUGUUUGAGCCUA